Molecule: ribosomal RNA, 449 nt
Filed under: uncultured bacterium
Lineage: Bacteria
Description: partial 16S ribosomal RNA
Rfam family: Bacterial small subunit ribosomal RNA
Source: RNAcentral
AAUGAACGCUGGCGGCAGGCCUAACACAUGCAAGUCGAACGGAUCCUUCGGGAUUAGUGGCGGACGGGUGAGUAACGCGUGGGAACAUACCCAUAGGUACGGAAUAGCCUCGGGAAACUGGGAGUAAUACCGUAUGUGCUCGAAAGAGGAAAGAUUUAUCGCCUUUGGAUUGGCCCGCGUUGGAUUAGGUAGUUGGUGGUGUAAUGGCCUACCAAGCCGACGAUCCAUAGCUGGUUUGAGAGGAUGAUCAGCCACACUGGGACUGAGACACGGCCCAGACUCCUACGGGAGGCAGCAGUGGGGAAUCUUAGACAAUGGGGGAAACCCUGAUCUAGCCAUGCCGCGUGAUCGAUGAAGGCCUUAGGGUUGUAAAGAUCUUUCAGGUGGGAAGAUAAUGACUGUACCACCAGAAGAAGCCCCGGCUAACUCCGUGCCAGCCGCCGCUGUAA